GAGUUUGAUCCUGGCUCAGAAUCAACGCUGGCGGCGUGCCUAAGACAUGCAAGUCGAACGGGACUUUUUCUGGUAGCAAUACCGGGAAAAGCUUAGUGGCGAACGGGUGCGUAACACGUGGGCAAUCUGCCGAGAAGUGGGGGAUAGCUCGCCGAAAGGCGAAUUAAUACCGCAUAUGAUCAGGGAAGACAUCUUUCCAACAUCAAAGCCGGGGCAACCUGGCGCUUCUUGAUGAGCCCGCGGCCUAUCAGCUAGUUGGUGAGGUAACGGCCCACCAAGGCGAUGACGGGUAGCUGGUCUGAGAGGACGACCAGUCACACUGGAACUGAGACACGGUCCAGACACCUACGGGUGGCAGCAGUCGAGAAUUUUUCUCAAUGGGGGAAACCCUGAAGGAGCGACGCCGCGUGGAGGAUGAAGGCUUUCGGGUUGUAAACUCCUGUCAUUUGGGAACAAUGCUUUUCGGUUAACUGCCGAGAAGUUGAUAGUACCAGAAGAGGAAGAGACGGCUAACUCUGUGCCAGCAGCCGCGGUAAUACAGAGGUCUCAAGCGUUGUUCGGAUUCAUUGGGCGUAAAGGGUGCGUAGGUGGCGUGGUAAGUCGGGUGUGAAAUUUCGGAGCUUAACUCCGAAACUGCAUUCGAUACUGCCGUGCUUGAGGACUGGAGAGGAGACUGGAAUUUACGGUGUAGCAGUGAAAUGCGUAGAGAUCGUAAGGAAGACCAGUGGCGAAGGCGGGUCUCUGGACGACUCCUGACACUGAGGCACGAAAGCUAGGGGAGCAAACAGGAUUAGAUACCCUGGUAGUCCUAGCUGUAAACGGUGCACGUUUGCUGUGAGAGGAAUCGACCCCUUUCGUGGCGAAGCUAACGCGCUAAACGUGCCGCCUGGGGAGUACGGUCGCAAGAUUAAAACUCAAAGAAAUUGACGGGGGCCUGCACAAGCGGUGGAGUAUGUGGCUUAAUUCGAUGCAACGCGAAGAACCUUACCUGGCCUUGACAUGCACGUAGUAGGAGCCUGAAAGGGUAACGACCCCGCAAGGGGAGCGUGCACAGGUGCUGCAUGGCUGUCGUCAGCUCGUGUCGUGAGAUGUUGGGUUAAGUCCCGCAACGAGCGCAACCCUUAUCGUUAGUUGCCAUCAGGUUAUGCUGGGCACUCUAGCGAAACCGCCUCGGAUAACGGGGAGGAAGGUGGGGAUGACGUCAAGUCCUCAUGGCCUUUAUGUCCAGGGCUACACACACGCUACAAUGGCCGGUACAACGGGUUCCGACACGGCGACGUGAAGGCAAUCCCUUAAAGCCGGUCUCAGUUCGGAUUGCAGGCUGCAACUCGCCUGCAUGAAGUCGGAGUUGCUAGUAACCGCAGGUCAGCACACUGCGGUGAAUACGUUCCCGGGCCUUGCACACAC
This 1407-nucleotide ribosomal RNA is filed under the name uncultured bacterium. RNAcentral's name for it is "partial 16S ribosomal RNA". It matches the Rfam family "Bacterial small subunit ribosomal RNA". The record is from RNAcentral.